ACCUAGGUAGCUUAAUUUAAGAGCAUAAUAUUGAAGAUAUUAGGGUAACUGUCUCAGUUCUUAGGUA
RNAcentral lists this transfer RNA (67 nucleotides) under Apatides fortis. RNAcentral describes it as "tRNA-Phe". Lineage: Eukaryota; Metazoa; Arthropoda; Insecta; Coleoptera; Bostrichidae. The record is from RNAcentral.